This 301-nucleotide ribosomal RNA is filed under the name uncultured bacterium. Its description in RNAcentral is "partial 16S ribosomal RNA". It matches the Rfam family "Bacterial small subunit ribosomal RNA", at positions 509 to 807 of the family's 1533-position model. The record is from RNAcentral.
CAGCCGCCGCGGUAACACGAAGGGUGCAAGCGUUAAUCGGAAUUACUGGGCGUAAAGCGUGCGCAGGCGGUUCGCUAAGACAGUUGUGAAAUCCCCGGGCUUAACCUGGGAACUGCAUUUGUGACUGGCGGGCUAGAGUAUGGCAGAGGGGGGUAGAAUUCCACGUGCAGCAGUGAAAUGCGUAGAGAUGUGGAGGAAUACCGAUGGCGAAGGCAGCCCCCUGGGCCAAUACUGACGCUCAUGCACGAAAGCGUGGGGAGCAAACAGGAUUAGAUACCUCCGUAGUCCCUGUCUCUUAUAC